This is a long non-coding RNA of Populus euphratica (Euphrates poplar), 2205 nucleotides long. RefSeq lists it as uncharacterized. The transcript is spliced from 3 exons. The record is from RefSeq and is a predicted model, not a curated record. Lineage: Eukaryota; Viridiplantae; Streptophyta; Magnoliopsida; Malpighiales; Salicaceae.
GGGGGGGACUUCGCUAAUCUAAACAACGCUCGUUACUCUGCCUUAAAUUCUCUUCUCAUCGCUCUUCAUCAACCCAAUUGUUACUCUCUUUUCUAUAAUCCUUAUAGAAAAACAGCCAGACCCUUCUCUCCAUUUAAGCUAUUCUCACCCACCCGUCCUGAUAAGAUCAUUCAAGUUACCCCGUCUCUGAAGAAGAGAGCACAGUUGGGUCCACUUCUGCUGCCACUGCCACUGAUGUGUUUAUGCUCACUUACUUGGAGGGGAAUAGUUGUUUAUGAGAGGUGGGUGAGGCUAAUGUUUUGGUCGACCUCUUUCCGGUGGGUAACUUGGAUUUUGGAAUCCCCAGGCUUUAUGAUGCUGCCAAGGAGGUCCUUAAGAACUUCCAGAUAAUGCAGCUCAGUGAUCUUCCUGAAGUGGAUUGCCUAUAGAUCUCUCAAAGCCCAGAUGAUCAUUGCCACUUAAAGACCCAUUCUCGAUCAUCCAAAUGCUCAUCCAUUUUUAGCAAUGUAAGUUUUUCUCGAUUGCAAAUUUUAUCCCUCAUUUCUGGCUGUAGCUAUUGUACAAGCUUAUAUCUUGAGUACAAGCAAUUUAUUCAAAUAGGAAAUGAACAUUAUCUACUGUGUGAUCAAGAGAGAAAAAGAGAUCAGCACAGAGGCUUGCAAAGCAUCUACAUGGACUUAAACUGAUAUCUGUUUUAAGUGACGUUUUUUGCCCUCUCCAUAGGGGGUCUUCUAUGAAAUCUUUAUGCCCAUCCAAAGCAUUACAUCAUUAUGCCAUUCUCAUGGAAGAAAGUAUGAUUUUUCUUUGCUUGUAAGAAGAAUGUCUUAUUUCUAGUGCUUUAAAAAUUGACCGUGCAAGAAGACAAGCUAGAGAAUUGGAAAGUUACUCUUCGCUCUUUCAGUGAAAAUAAAUUCCAGGUUGUUUCUCUUUGUGUGCACGUCUUUGUGUAUCGCAUGCCUGCUUGCUAAGAGUGCCUUCAUGUGUGCGUGCAUUACUGCAUAUAUGCAUGCUUGUCAAUUGAGGCAGGCUAAACACUUGCCAAAAGCAUAGAGUAACUUUUCUUGAUUGGAGUCUUUUCUAUUGUCAGAUUAGCAGAGCAUGGCUUAUGGUUCCAUUUUCAGAUUAGAAAACUAUGGUUAUGUCGCAUAAACAGGAUGGUGUUUAGGCUUCUAACUCUUUCCAGUGCAUGUGUUCUCUCUACUCUGAACCUUCUUCUUGACAUUGUUAUGACCAGGCUAUGCACUGUUACUUUUAAACCAGUUUGAAGCUUUGCAACCGGGCAUGCAGUGCCAUGAUACAAAACAAGCUGUCUUUUCUUAGUGAUGAUGAUUUAAGGCAUCUCCACAUUCAAACCCAAACAAACCUCAGAUCUUUCAGGUCACAUAUCUAGAACCUGGUCAGAGUUUUGAAAUUAAAGCUAAAAAUGGUUCUAAAGUCGGAGUUAAAGUUCCUGCAGGGCCAGUUUUAGGUCCUCCUUGGCAGCAUCAUGAGAAGGGUUGGAGGUUUUCGUGCUUGAAGAGAACUACUAAUUACUUGCAUUGCCCAUGGUUUAGUAUCUAUUUUAGUAUUUACUAACAUUCUGGUGUUUUGUAUGCUUUGCACUCGGAUACCUCAUCAAUUCUCCACAAGGUCAAUUAACACUCUACUAUGAGCCUCACUGUGUAUACAACAAGGAUUUUCUUGAGAAGGAACGUGCCAACAUUGUUAUCACACUCAUCAUAAAACAGCUUCUGCAAAAUUUACUUUGGCUUCUGGACUAGAAGAUGCAGUUCAGCUUGCAAAGUUGGUGCAGGCCAAGUAUUCAACCUGUUCGUUGAUUUUUGCUGCUUCAUUUAUAUGCUUUCUGAUAACAUUUUUCUAUCAACUUCCUGUCUUUAUUUUCUGGGUUCAUUGCACCAAUGAAAAAUGGAGACCUCGAUAGCAAAGGGUUUCUUGCCACAAUCAUUCAAGGUUUGCUUUCUUUUAUCUAACCUCGUCAGUUUCCAUUGAAAUAAAAUUAGGAUGGGGGUACAUAAAUUUGGACACUGCAAACACGAUAUGGGAAUUACUAUGGUUAGCGCUCCUAAAUUGAAAUUCUUGCACAACACAGAGGAAGAAUUUGAAAAGAACAACCAAAUGAUAGAGGGAUGAACUAUACGUGUAAAAUCUAUUGUAUAGAAUGUGAUAUAAAAAAAUGUUAUUUUAUACGUGUAAGCUUGUUCCCAA